This 439-nucleotide ribosomal RNA is filed under the name uncultured bacterium. Its description in RNAcentral is "bacterial SSU rRNA". It matches the Rfam family "Bacterial small subunit ribosomal RNA", at positions 338 to 795 of the family's 1533-position model. The record is from RNAcentral.
CCUACGGGUGGCAGCAGUGGGGAAUAUUGCACAAUGGGGGAAACCCUGAUGCAGCAACGCCGCGUGAGCGAUGAAGGCCUUCGGGUCGUAAAGCUCUGUCCUAAGGGAAGAAUACUGACGGUACCUUAGGAGGAAGCCCCGGCUAACUACGUGCCAGCAGCCGCGGUAAUACGUAGGGGGCUAGCGUUAGCCGGAAUUACUGGGCGUAAAGGGUGCGUAGGCGGCCCUGCAAGUCAGGGGUGAAAGGCUACGGCUCAACCGUAGGAAGCCUUUGAAGCCGUAGGGCGUGGGGGCAGGAGAGGAGAGUGUAAUUCCCAGUGUAGCGGUGAAAUGAGUAGAUAUUGGAGGAACACCAGUUGCGAAGGCGGCUCUCUGGACUGUAACUGACGCUGAGGCACGAAAGCGUGGGGAGCGAACAGGAUUAGAUACCCUAGUAGUC